This 475-nucleotide ribosomal RNA is filed under the name uncultured bacterium. Its description in RNAcentral is "SSU rRNA". It matches the Rfam family "Bacterial small subunit ribosomal RNA", at positions 26 to 518 of the family's 1533-position model. The record is from RNAcentral.
AGGACGAACGCUGGCGGCGUGCUUAACACAUGCAAGUCGAGCGGAAAGGCCCUUCGGGGUACUCGAGCGGCGAACGGGUGAGUAACACGUGAGCAACCUGCCCUUAGCUCCGGGAUAGCUCCGGGAAACCGGAAUUAAUACCGGAUAUGACCUAGGCCGACAUCGGCUGUGGUGGAAAGUUUUUCGGCUGGGGAUGGACUCGCGGCCUAUCAGCUUGUUGGUGGGGUAAUGGCCUACCAAGGCGACGACGGGUAGCCGGCCUGAGAGGGCGACCGGCCACACUGGGACUGAGACACGGCCCAGACUCCUACGGGAGGCAGCAGUGGGGAAUCUUGCGCAAUGGGCGAAAGCCUGACGCAGCGACGCCGCGUGGGGGAUGAAGGCCUUCGGGUUGUAAACCCCUUUCAGCAGGGACGAAGCGAAAGUGACGGUACCUGCAGAAGAAGACGCCGGCUAACUACGUGCCAGCAGCCGC